ACUCGAGUGGCGACGGGUGAGUAACGCGUGGGUAACCUGCCUUACACAGGGGGAUAACACCUGGAAACAGGUGCUAAUACCGCAUAAGCGCACAGGGCCGCAUGGCCCGGUGUGAAAAACUCCGGUGGUGUAAAAUGGACCCGCGUCUGAUUAGCUUGUUGGCGGGGUAGAGGCCCACCAAGGCGACGAUCAGUAGCCGGCCUGAGAGGGUGGACGGCCACAUUGGGACUGAGACACGGCCCAAACUCCUACGGAAGGCAGCAG
This 264-nucleotide ribosomal RNA is filed under the name uncultured bacterium. Its description in RNAcentral is "partial 16S ribosomal RNA". It matches the Rfam family "Bacterial small subunit ribosomal RNA", at positions 89 to 354 of the family's 1533-position model. The record is from RNAcentral.